RNAcentral lists this long non-coding RNA (634 nucleotides) under Fukomys damarensis (Damara mole-rat). RNAcentral's name for it is "lncRNA (ENSFDAG00000028417.1)". The record is from RNAcentral. Lineage: Eukaryota; Metazoa; Chordata; Mammalia; Rodentia; Bathyergidae.
GCCUGGUCAGGGUGGCAAACAUAUUUUGUUUUGCACAGCAGGACACAGGAUGUGCAAGGGCUGUUCACAGGCACAGCAGAACUCUCCCCUCCGUGCCAUGGGAAGUUCCCCCAGAGCCCUGUGCGGCACAGAUACCCAGGGGAAGGGCCCCUGUCUCCGCCUUCCGGCUGUCCACACGGCAAUAACGUUCCGAGUCUAUGGCGAGCAGCCUGCUGCAGGACACUGACUGUCCCUCCUGGAGGCACCAGGGCUCAGUUCCUUGAAAUGAUUCUACUGCAUGAAGCAACCCUGUUGCAUUUUAAGAAAUACACGGCUCUCCUGGAAAGAGAUCAUCGAGGACAGAAGGCGAAGGUGCUGAUAAUGGAGAACAGUCUAAAUCAGGGCGGAACUGCAUGCUUCCUGCCUUGAGAACGUCAGAGCGCACUGGUCUUGGGUUCUGUCCUGGUGUUCUGGGGACAGAGAUCCGAAGGCUUGGGAUUUCCUGGGGAUGGAACUGAGGCCGAACCCAGGGACACAAGGGACCUUGCUCUAGACCCAGACCUGAAGGGUCCUGCUUUUCCACUAGAUCCAGCCACUCCCCUUCUAAGUACCUUCCCCAAAGAGUUAAAGCCACCGUAUUACAGUGACCCAUGCA